Molecule: ribosomal RNA, 460 nt
Filed under: uncultured bacterium
Lineage: Bacteria
Description: partial 16S ribosomal RNA
Rfam family: Bacterial small subunit ribosomal RNA
Source: RNAcentral
CCUACGGGUGGCAGCAGUGAGGAAUAUUGGUCAAUGGCCGUAAGCCUGAACCAGCCAAGUCGCGUGAAGGAAGAAGGAUCUACGGUUUGUAAACUUCUUUUAUAGGGGAAUAAAGUUAUCCACGUGUGGCUAUUUGCAUGUACCCUAUGAAUAAGCAUCGGCUAACUCCGUGCCAGCAGCCGCGGUAAUACGGAGGAUGCGAGCGUUAUCCGGAUUUAUUGGGUUUAAAGGGUGCGUAGGUUGUUUGUUAAGUCAGUGGUGAAAGUUUGUGGCUCAACCGUAAAAUUGCAGUUGAAACUGGAAGACUUGAGUGUGUUUGAGGUAGGCGGAAUGCGUGGUGUAGCGGUGAAAUGCAUAGAUAUCACGAAGAACUCCGAUUGCGAAGGCAGCUUACUAAGCAAUAACUGACACUGAAGCACGAAAGCGUGGGGAUCAAACAGGAUUAGAUACCCGAGUAGUC